Molecule: transfer RNA, 80 nt
Filed under: compost metagenome
Description: tRNA-Phe
Source: RNAcentral
GGCAUUAUGGGCAAGCCUAUGAGCCUGAACCUGCUGAAGGCAGGUUAUGAGCUUGUGGUGCUGGACCGCAAUCAUGCUGC